GCGUAACACGUGAGAAACCUGCCCCCAGACCGGGACAGCCAGGAACCUGGAUUAAUACCGGAUAUCCUCUUUGGAUCGCAUGAUCCUUUGAGGAAAUGGUCCGCUGCUGGGGGAUGGUCUCGCGGCCUAUCAGGUAGUUGGUGAGGUAACGGCUCACCAAGCCGAAGACGGGUAGCUGGUCUGAGAGGACGAUCAGCCACACUGGAACUGAGACACGGUCCAG
This 223-nucleotide ribosomal RNA is filed under the name uncultured bacterium. RNAcentral's name for it is "partial 16S ribosomal RNA". It matches the Rfam family "Bacterial small subunit ribosomal RNA", at positions 108 to 334 of the family's 1533-position model. The record is from RNAcentral.